GACGAACGCUGGCGGCGUGCCUAACACAUGCAGGUCGAACGGAAAGGUCCUUCCUUUGUGCGGUGGUCGAGUUGACACCGGGUGAGUAACACGUGGGUUACCUGUCCUUCUCUUUGGCAUAGAUUAAUGCAACUGGGGCUCAUACCGGAUAGGAGCUACUGCCGAAUGGUGGGGGCGGGAUAGUUUAGGUGGUUGGGGAUGGACUCGCGGCUCAUCAGCAUGAUGCUGGGGUAGUGGCUUAGCAAGGCUUUGACGGGUAGCCGGACUGGGAGGGUGACCGGGCACAGUGGGACUGAGAUACAGCCCAGGCUCCGACGGGUGGCAGCAGUAGGGGAUGUUGCACUAUGGGCGGAAGCCUGAUGCAGCAACGCCGCGUGCGGGAUGACGGCCUUCGGGUUAUAGUCCUCUUGCGCCUGUAGCGAAGCGUAAAUGACGGUAAUGGGUAGAGGAAGACCGGCUAACUACGUU
Molecule: ribosomal RNA, 468 nt
Filed under: uncultured bacterium
Lineage: Bacteria
Description: partial 16S ribosomal RNA
Rfam family: Bacterial small subunit ribosomal RNA
Source: RNAcentral